UUGACCUCGGAUCAGGUAGGAGUACCCGCUGAACUUAAGCAUAUCAAUAAGCGGAGGAAAAGAAACCAACAGGGAUUGCCCUAGUAACGGCGAGUGAAGCGGCAACAGCUCAAAUUUGAAAUCUGGCCCUAGGCCCGAGUUGUAAUUUGCAGAGGAUGCUUCGGGCGCGGCGCCUUCCAAGUCCCCUGGAACGGGGCGCCAGAGAGGGUGAGAGCCCCGUACUGUCGGACGUCAAGCCUAUGUGAAGCUCCUUCGACGAGUCGAGUAGUUUGGGAAUGCUGCUCAAAAUGGGAGGUAGACCCCUUCUAAAGCUAAAUACCGGCCAGAGACCGAUAGCGCACAAGUAGAGUGAUCGAAAGAUGAAAAGCACUUUGAAAAGAGGGUUAAAUAGCACGUGAAAUUGUUGAAAGGGAAGCGCUUGUGACCAGACUUGCACUGAGGCGAUCAUCUGGCGUUCUCGCCAGUGCACUCGCCUCGGUUCAGGCCAGCGUCGGUUCGCGUGGGGGGAUAAAGGCUCUGGGAACGUGGCUCCUCCGGGAGUGUUAUAGCCCAGUGUGUCAUGCCCUCGUGCGGACCGAGGUUCGCGCUCUGCAAGGACGCUGGCGUAAUGGUUACUAGCGACCCGUCUUGAAACACGGACCAAGAGUUGGGAGGUUCUGCGCGAGUGUUUGGGUGUCAAACCCGCACGCGUAAUGAAAGUGAACGUAGGUGGGAGCUUCGGCGCACCACCGACCGAUCCUGAUGUUCUCGGAUGGAUUUGAGUAGGAGCGUAGGGCCUCGGACCCGAAAGAUGGUGAACUAUGCUUGGAUAGGGUGAAGUCAGAGGAAACUCUGAUGGAGGCUCGCAGCGGUUCUGACGUGCAAAUCGAUCGUCAAAUCUAAGCAUGGGGGCGAAAGACUAAUCGAACCAUCUAGUAGCUGGUUACCGCCGAAGUUUCCCUCAGGAUAGCAGUGUUGUCUUCAGUUUUAUGAGGUAAAGCGAAUGAUUAGGGACUCGGGGGCGCCAUAUUGCCUUCAUCCAUUCUCAAACUUUAAAUAUGUAAGAAGCCCUUGUUACUUAAUUGAACGUGGGCACUCGAAUGUAUCAACACUAGUGGGCCAUUUUUGGUAAGCAGAACUGGCG
Molecule: ribosomal RNA, 1123 nt
Filed under: Paragaeumannomyces rubicundus
Lineage: Eukaryota; Fungi; Ascomycota; Sordariomycetes; Chaetosphaeriales; Chaetosphaeriaceae
Description: partial large subunit ribosomal RNA
Rfam family: Eukaryotic large subunit ribosomal RNA
Source: RNAcentral